UCCCUGGUAGCUCAGAGGUUAAAGCGACUGACUCCAGUGCAGGAGACCCGGGUUCAACCCCUGGUUCGGGAA
Molecule: transfer RNA, 72 nt
Organism: Ovis aries (sheep)
Lineage: Eukaryota; Metazoa; Chordata; Mammalia; Artiodactyla; Bovidae
Rfam family: tRNA
About the family: Transfer RNA (tRNA) molecules are approximately 80 nucleotides in length. Their secondary structure includes four short double-helical elements and three loops (D, anti-codon, and T loops). Further hydrogen bonds mediate the characteristic L-shaped molecular structure. tRNAs have two regions of fundamental functional importance: the anti-codon, which is responsible for specific mRNA codon recognition, and the 3' end, to which the tRNAs corresponding amino acid is attached (by aminoacyl-tRNA synthetases). tRNAs cope with the degeneracy of the genetic code in two manners: having more than one tRNA (with a specific anti-codon) for a particular amino acid; and 'wobble' base-pairing, i.e. permitting non-standard base-pairing at the 3rd anti-codon position.
Source: Rfam